UCGAACGAAGUAGCAAUACUUAGUGGCAGACGGGUGAGUAACAUGUAGGUAUCUGCCCUUUGGCCUGAAUAACACGAGGAAACUUGUGCUAAUACCGGAUAAGUCUUUACGGAGAAAGCUUUAUGCACCAUUGGAUGAGCCUGCACUUGAUUAGUUUGUUGGUGGGGUAAUGGCCUACCAAGACUGUGAUCAAUAGCCGAUUUGAGAGGAUGAUCAGCCACAUUGGGACUGAGACACGGCCCAAACUCCUACGGGAGGCAGCAGUGGGGAAUCUUGCACAAUGGAGGAAACUCUGAUGCAGCGAUGCCGCGUGAGUGAAGAAGGCCUUUGGGUUGUAAAGCUCUUUCGUCGGGGAAGAAAAUGACUGUACCCGAAUAAGAAGGUCCGGCUAACUUCGUGCCAGCAGCCGCGGUAAUACGAAGGGACCUAGCGUAGUUCGGAAUUACUGGGCUUAAAGAGUUCGUAGGUGGUUGAAAAAGUUGGUGGUGAAAUCCCAGAGCUUAACUCUGGAACUGCCAUCAAAACUUUUCAGCUAGAGUAUGAUAGAGGAAAGCAGAAUUUCUAGUGUAGAGGUGAAAUUCGUAGAUAUUAGAAAGAAUACCAAUUGCGAAGGCAGCUUUCUGGAUCAUUACUGACACUGAGGAACGAAAGCAUGGGUAGCGAAGAGGAUUAGAUACCCUCGUAGUCCAUGCCGUAAACGAUGUGUGUUAGACGUUGGAAAUUUAUUUUCAGUGUCGCAGCGAAAGCGAUAAACACACCGCCUGGGGAGUACGACCGCAAGGUUAAAACUCAAAUGAAUCGAC
This 803-nucleotide ribosomal RNA is filed under the name uncultured marine bacterium. Its description in RNAcentral is "bacterial SSU rRNA". It matches the Rfam family "Bacterial small subunit ribosomal RNA", at positions 62 to 914 of the family's 1533-position model. The record is from RNAcentral.